Molecule: ribosomal RNA, 253 nt
Filed under: uncultured bacterium
Lineage: Bacteria
Description: partial 16S ribosomal RNA
Rfam family: Bacterial small subunit ribosomal RNA
Source: RNAcentral
UACGGAGGGGGCUAGCGUUGUUCGGAAUUACUGGGCGUAAAGCGCACGUAGGCGGCUUUGUAAGUUAGAGGUGAAAGCCCGGGGCUCAACUCCGGAAUUGCCUUUAAGACUGCAUCGCUAGAAUUGUGGAGAGGUAAGUGGAAUUCCGAGUGUAGAGGUGAAAUUCGUAGAUAUUCGGAAGAACACCAGUGGCGAAGGCGACUUACUGGACACAUAUUGACGCUGAGGAGCGAAAGCAUGGGUAGCGAACAGG